AAAUAAGUAAGCACGAAAGUAACAACAGAUGGCGCUAAAAAGAUUUUGCGCGAAAUAACCAGCAUCUAGCUUCAAUUAGGUAAAGUCUUAUUAUGAAGCACACAAACAACAAUAAUUAAAUCAGAGACAUGACACGCAAAAGCAAUGAGAAUGUGAUUUGUUCAAAACGGGUAAACUUGCUGGUUUCUCUUCCCAGUUGGUAAACAACAAAAGACGCUGCAGCAAACAAAGCUAAUACCGACAAAAAAGGAAAAAAAUGGACGACGGAUCGUUUCUUUUCCUAUUGGGCCUCGCGAUAGCGACACCUAGUGGCGCAGCAGUGGCUGAGACGCAGCGCGUUAUCUCUCCCGAGGCAAUCUUUUACAGAUGCUUUGUGGAUAAAUAUCAAGUGACGACAGGUAGCUGUAAAUUACUGGAGGAUUGCCCCGCCACCUCAAGGCACCCAAUACCCAUGAACUGUUAUUUUAAGAAUUCCAAACAGUACGUAUGGUGUCCGACCCCUGUUACACGAACCAGAGUUAAAGGUUGCGAUUACGCUCGUACCCGUCCCAGUGUUUCGGAUGGCACACCCACUGAAUACCGAGAGUUUCCCUUCAUGGUCGCCCUCGGCUGGCGCUCGAGCUUCGAUGAAAGCAUUCACUAUCGCUGCGGGGGCAGUCUCAUAGCAUCCAAGUUUGUGCUCACAGCGGCGCACUGCAUCGACUUUGGCGGACAGGUGCCCGUAACGGUGCGACUGGGCGGUGACAAUCUAACCAUGGGCAUGGGCGUCGAUAAUCAAAUCCGGCGCAUAUUUAUGCAUCCCGCUUACGAUGAGAAAACCGCCUACAACGACAUCGCGCUGCUGGAGCUGGAAAUGGAUGCGCCGCCAAGCUUGGUUCCCGUCUGCCUGUGGCAGCAUGCGAAACUGGCAGAGAAGGAGCUAACAGCCGUUGGCUACGGACAGAUCAGCUUCACGGGUCUCUCCUCCUCGCAGCUGCUCAAGGUCGAUCUGCAGCACAUCAGCGACGACCUGUGCCAAGACUACUACACACGCGAACUGCUCGCCGAGGGCUUGGCUGCCAGUCAGCUCUGUGCAGGCGACACCAAAGGCAAGGGCGACACCUGCCAGGGUGAUUCCGGUGGCCCGCUGCUCAUGAGAUCCGAUUUGACAUGGUAUGUGGUGGGCGUCACGUCGCUAGGUCACGGCUGUGCCACCGGACCGCCCAGCAUCUAUACGCGCGUGUCCAGCCACCUCGACUGGAUUGAGAGCGUUGUUUGGCCCGAACCCGAAGUGCAGAUAGUGGAUUCCCAUUUCGAUCCGAGUAUUUUCUUCUGAGGAAGGCCACAGCUGCCUCCCAUAUUCAGUAAGCCGGAAUCGAAUCCAAUCACAUGCCUCAUCAUCAAUUAUUCAAAUUACAUCGUGAGCUGCCUUGGGCAAUUGUUAAUUAAAUAUGAAUUUACUUACGAUUUUUUGUAAAGCAUACUUUGGAUAUAUUUGGAAGCACCCGAAAGUAGGCUUCAGGAAAAUUCGGUGGAAAACCGUGAAAAUACACUCUAGGCACUGACUAUAU
RNA transcript from Drosophila hydei, 1550 nucleotides. It is a transcript of the gene named serine protease snake-like, with no coding region annotated. NCBI's taxonomy places the organism in Eukaryota, Metazoa, Arthropoda, Insecta, Diptera, Drosophilidae. The record is from RefSeq and is a predicted model, not a curated record. The transcript has 5 exons.